CAUAGAUUACCUACAAUCAGAUGUCAGAGAUUUUAGGUUGUUGUUCACGUCACAUUAAGUAAAUUUCUCAUAGGGGAGUUGUUUUGGAGAGCAAUGCAGUGUGACGGGUGCAGUGUUGUGUGAUGUAGAGAACUUUAUUUCAACGAGAACUGUCAAGCGUACAGCAUUUAAGUUCGUGCCAUGAUACCCAGGCCUGCAGUCCUGCUUUGGCUGGCAGCGUUUUUUCUCUGCCUAUGCUGGCUCCACUGUGCAUCCGCCAAAACGCCACCAGGCAAGAACAGCCGAAGCAGCCGUGGCUCCGCCGGCAACGAUGAUGAAGAACAGCUACUGCGCAGCCUCGAGGACCUGUUCCGCCUCAUGACCAGGCUGCUGGAGCGAUAGGGCCGGCAUUCUCCGCCUGCACCGUCAAACACUUAUAAAUUACUGUAGCAAAUGGAAAGGUCGCUGCUCUUUGCUUUCUAAUCCAUAUUUCACCAUUACGACACACUGCUCAUUUAGCAAGUACUGCAAGUCGAUGUUAUAACAAUCUGGGUUCAGUAUAAGAAGAUACAGCAGUAAGUUUUAAAUUAGUCUUUCUUGAAGUUGGUCUUCCAUAUCUUGAUAGUUGCGUGGUAGCGGUCAACAUA
Molecule: long non-coding RNA, 626 nt
Organism: Schistocerca gregaria
Lineage: Eukaryota; Metazoa; Arthropoda; Insecta; Orthoptera; Acrididae
Exons: 3
Source: RefSeq, a predicted model, not a curated record